RNAcentral lists this ribosomal RNA (277 nucleotides) under uncultured Eubacteriales bacterium. Its description in RNAcentral is "uncultured Clostridiales bacterium partial 16S ribosomal RNA". It matches the Rfam family "Bacterial small subunit ribosomal RNA", at positions 66 to 339 of the family's 1533-position model. Lineage: Bacteria; Bacillati; Bacillota; Clostridia; Eubacteriales. The record is from RNAcentral.
ACGGAGUUUUCGGACAACUGAUUGGGUUACUUAGUGGCGGACGGGUGAGUAACGCGUGGGUAACCUGCCUUGUACAGGGGGAUAACAGUUGGAAACGGCUGCUAAUACCGCAUAAGCGCACGGCAUCGCAUGAUGCAGUGUGAAAAACUCCGGUGGUAUGAGAUGGACCCGCGUUUGAUUAGCUAGUUGGUGAGGUAACGGCCCACCAAGGCGACGAUCAAUAGCCGACCUGAGAGGGUGAUCGGCCACAUUGGAACUGAGAGACGGUCCAGACUCC